UCCCUGGUGGCUCAGAUGGUAAAGCGUCUACCCAUAAUGCAGGAGAUCCGGGUUCGAUCCCCGGCGGGAA
RNAcentral lists this transfer RNA (70 nucleotides) under Ovis aries (sheep). It matches the Rfam family "tRNA". Rfam says of the family: Transfer RNA (tRNA) molecules are approximately 80 nucleotides in length. Their secondary structure includes four short double-helical elements and three loops (D, anti-codon, and T loops). Further hydrogen bonds mediate the characteristic L-shaped molecular structure. tRNAs have two regions of fundamental functional importance: the anti-codon, which is responsible for specific mRNA codon recognition, and the 3' end, to which the tRNAs corresponding amino acid is attached (by aminoacyl-tRNA synthetases). tRNAs cope with the degeneracy of the genetic code in two manners: having more than one tRNA (with a specific anti-codon) for a particular amino acid; and 'wobble' base-pairing, i.e. permitting non-standard base-pairing at the 3rd anti-codon position. Lineage: Eukaryota; Metazoa; Chordata; Mammalia; Artiodactyla; Bovidae. The record is from Rfam by way of RNAcentral.